This 2074-nucleotide long non-coding RNA is filed under the name Pongo abelii (Sumatran orangutan). Its description in RNAcentral is "lincRNA". The record is from RNAcentral. Lineage: Eukaryota; Metazoa; Chordata; Mammalia; Primates; Hominidae.
UGGAGUAAUUGCUGAAUCAGACAGAGCCAAUCGAUGAUCAGCAGGGCCUGAAAACGCCAAAACCCUGAGACAACUGACCUUCAAAAACUUCAACAUCCCUGAAUGAAACGUCCAAACACAUUUAUCUGCCAAUCAAAAACCCUUUAUAGUCUGUGAUCUAUGCAUCUCAGAAGUCUCUUUUUACCACACUGUCUAUAUACUGCAUGAACCAUUUAUAUGAAUCUAUCUGACACUCCAAGGCAUCUUAUACUAUAUAUUCAACCAUGUAUCCCUAGUAACUAGUACAGUCCUGGCAUAUAGUUUGCUACUAAACAUUUGCAGAAUGAAGUAAUUAUCUUGUAUCCAGGUUCCAAGUUGUAAGGUAAUUUCUCACUAAAAAAAAGCAUUACAGUUCGCAAACAAUCUACUUCCUUUUUUACAAAUGAGAUCGACUUUAAUCUUAUCCCCUAAUAACAUUAUUUUCCUUUACUUCCAUCUAAGUAUACUGUCCUAAGAGAGCAAUAAGAAAGAGAGUUAAAGCUGAAGCUUGAAGAAUUGUACAUGGUCCACAGUGUGGCCUGACAUGCACUGCUCACCUGAGCUUCAUCUGUUAGGUAUGUCAGGGAAGAUAAGCAGGGUGAGAGUGGCCCCAACAGAGGACGCCAGAUCUCUGGCUUCCCCAUCUGACAAGUACACUUCUGUGAACAAAGACUUCAGAGCCAGAUGACAAGAAUAGCCGAAGCAGUCCACCAGGGAAACCUGGGCCCAGUGUACAUCAAUGCAGAGCAUCAAGCACAGCAUAACAGGUGUGCAGUUGCCUAUUCCUGGUCAGAGAUAACUGCAUCCCACACACUGUAAAAUGAGGAAAUGCAGGGAAGCAGAUGUAACCGAAGAAGACAGCAGGAGCAACAAGGAGGGACAACCAUGACCUAGGAGGGCACCAUGCCAGAGAUGCCUGGACCCCAUGCUAGGCUCAGUGCCCAUUAUGCUGUUGGGACCCAGUGCUUCCCUUCUCCAUCACUUGGCAUACUUGCCAUUUUUUUUUGCUUAAAAUAAUGUUUUAAUGUUCACCUUUCCUAGGAGACACAGGCAGAUCCUGUGACACUACAGUUUCUGGCACACAAUAGGUGCAUCACAAACAACUGCUGAGUUCACACACUCUUACCUUCUCAAACCUUCUUGUCAAGUCUUCAGUGAAAAGGAAUUGCUGACUGAGCAAAAAUUAAACCUAGAAACUCCUGGAUCCACUGAAGUUUGAGACAAGCUGUAGUCAGGAAGUGUUAGAAAGUUCUAAACAGGAAAUGUUCCAACACACCAUCUAAGCAUGAAGCAGAAUCCACCUAUAAUUGAGUUUGCUACCACCAACCUCAACAGCAAGAAUUCCAAUACUGCUGCUGCAAAUUCUCUUUGAGAGUCUUUCUUGCAGUUGAGGUUGGUUGGCUGCUGCUGAAGUCACCUGAAAGCUCAACUAAGCUAAAGAGCCUAGACGGGUUACUCAGAAGACUGGCAGUGCAUAUUGGCUACUGUGUGUGAUGCCUGUCUGACCUCUCUAUAUUACCUGGAGUCCUCACAAUGUGGUAGUUGGUCCCAAGACACACAGGCAAAUACUAUAAAGCUUCUUAUGACCUACACUUGAAGGUUCUAGAAUAUGACUUCUGCUGCAUCCUAUUGGUAAAGCAAGUCAUUGUGACCAGCACAGAUUCAAGAAAUGGGAGAUUCGACUCUACCUGUCAGUGUAAAGAGCAGCAUGUGCAUGCAGGGAGGAAAGAAAUUGAGGGCAUCAUCUUGAAGACUAUCAUAUCACACCAUUAUUCCAGCUAAUGAACAUUAUGUUUUAGAUGGGUGGUACUAGCUACUCAUCUCUCCCCCAGAAACCCAAGCUAGGCAUUAACAUACUGAAAAGAAUGUCAGCACCAUUAAAAAAACUCUAGAAAAAUCACAUGUGAUGACUGAGGUUAAUUCAGUCUGUCAAUUACAUCAAUAUAAUUCCCCUCUAGUAACCCUAAAUAUGUUGAAACAGAAUUGAAUUCUACAAAAGCCUUUUGUCUGUUUUCCUAUGGAAUAAUUAACAAACCUAAUAAAUGUGUAAAGAGCA